GGGGGAUUGGUAUAGUUGGUAACACACCGUCAUGGCAUGGCGGAAUCGGCGGCUCGAAUCCGCUAUCCUCCACCA
RNAcentral lists this transfer RNA (75 nucleotides) under bacterium. RNAcentral's name for it is "tRNA-Ala". It matches the Rfam family "tRNA". From Rfam's summary of the family: Transfer RNA (tRNA) molecules are approximately 80 nucleotides in length. Their secondary structure includes four short double-helical elements and three loops (D, anti-codon, and T loops). The record is from RNAcentral.